GGCUCAGGAUGAACGCUAGCGGCAGGCUUAACACAUGCAAGUCGAGGGGUAUAGUUCUUCGGAACUAGAGACCGCGCACGGGUGCGUAACGCGUAUGCAAUCUACCUUUACAGAGGGAUAGCCCAGAGAAAUUUGGAUUAAUACCUCAUAGUAUGUGAGAAUCGCAUGGUUUUCACAUUAAAGUUCCAACGGUAAAAGAUGAGCAUGCGUCCCAUUAGCUAGAUGGUAAGGUAACGGCUUACCAUGGCGACGAUGGGUAGGGGUCCUGAGAGGACGACCAGCCACACUGGAACUGAGACACGGUCCAGACUCCUACGGGAGGCAGCAGUGGGGAAUUUUGGACAAUGGACGCAAGUCUGAUCCAGCCAUUCCGCGUGCAGGAUGAAGGCCCUCGGGUUGUAAACUGCUUUUGUACGGAACGAAAAGGUUUCCAUUAAUACUGGGAGCUCAUGACGGUACCGUAAGAAUAAGCACCGGCUAACUACGUG
Molecule: ribosomal RNA, 488 nt
Filed under: uncultured bacterium
Lineage: Bacteria
Description: bacterial SSU rRNA
Rfam family: Bacterial small subunit ribosomal RNA
Source: RNAcentral